AGAGUUUGAUCCUGGCUCAGAUUGAACGCUAGCGGGAUGCUUUACACAUGCAAGUCGAACGGCAGCGCGGACUUCGGUCUGGCGGCGAGUGGCGAACGGGUGAGUAAUGUAUCGGAACGUGCCCAGUAGCGGGGGAUAACUACUCGAAAGAGUAGCUAAUACCGCAUACGCCCUACGGGGGAAAGGGGGGGAUCUUAUGACCUCUCACUAUUGGAGCGGCCGAUAUCGGAUUAGCUAGUUGGUGGGGUAAAGGCCUACCAAGGCAUCGAUCCGUAGCUGGUUUGAGAGGACGACCAGCCACACUGGGACUGAGACACGGCCCAGACUCCUACGGGAGGCAGCAGUGGGGAAUUUUGGACAAUGGGGGAAACCCUGAUCCAGCCAUCCCGCGUGUGCGAUGAAGGCCUUCGGGUUGUAAAGCACUUUUGGCAGGAAAGAAAUUGCAUGGGCUAAUACCCUGUGUAGAUGACGGUACCUGCAGAAUAAGCACCGGCUAACUACGUGCCAGCAGCCGCGGUAAUACGUAGGGUGCAAGCGUUAAUCGGAAUUACUGGGCGUAAAGCGUGCGCAGGCGGUUCGGAAAGAAAGAUGUGAAAUCCCAGGGCUUAACCUUGGAACUGCAUUUUUAACUGUCGAACUAGAGUGCGUCAGA
This 652-nucleotide ribosomal RNA is filed under the name uncultured bacterium. RNAcentral describes it as "bacterial SSU rRNA". It matches the Rfam family "Bacterial small subunit ribosomal RNA", at positions 8 to 655 of the family's 1533-position model. The record is from RNAcentral.